Molecule: ribosomal RNA, 571 nt
Filed under: Hepatozoon sp. JPMCM-2012
Lineage: Eukaryota; Apicomplexa; Hepatozoidae
Description: bacterial SSU rRNA
Rfam family: Eukaryotic small subunit ribosomal RNA
Source: RNAcentral
GGCAGUGACGGUUAACGGGGGAUUAGGGUUCGAUUCCGGAGAGGGAGCCUGAGAAACGGCUACCACAUCUAAGGAAGGCAGCAGGCGCGCAAAUUACCCAAUUCUAACAGCAUAAGAGAGGUAGUGACAAGAAAUAACAAUACAAGGCAGUUAAAAUGCUUUGUAAUUGGAAUGAUAGAAAUUUAAACACUUUUUAAAGUAUCAAUUGGAGGGCAAGUCUGGUGCCAGCAGCCGCGGUAAUUCCAGCUCCAAUAGCGUAUAUUAAAAUUGUUGCAGUUAAAAAGCUCGUAGUUGAAUUUCUGCUAAAAAUAACCGGUCUGCUUUUAACAAAAGUGGUAUCUUGGUGUGUUUUUAGCAAUAAUGUCCUUUGAAAUGUUUUUUACUUUGUUGUAAAAGACAAUAUUCAGGAUUUUUACUUUGAGAAAAUUAGAGUGUUUCUAGCAGGCUAAUGUUUUGAAUACUGCAGCAUGGAAUAAUAAAAUAGAAUUUUAGUUCUACAUUGUUGGUUUUAAGAGCUGAAUUAAUGAUUGAUAGGGACAGUUGGGGGCAUUUGUAUUUAACUGUCAGAGGU